UUGACGGGGCCGCACAAGCGGUGGAGUAUGUGGUUUAAUUCGAUGCAACGCGAAGAACCUUACCUGGUCUUGACAUCCCGGAGACCCUUAGGAAACUAGGGGGUGCUUCCAUCUGGAAGAAUCUGGAGACAGGUGCUGCAUGGCUGUCGUCAGCUCGUGUCGUGAGAUGUGGGUUAAGUCCCGCAACGAGCGCAACCCUUGCCUUUAGUUGCCAGCAGUUCGGCUGGGCACUCUAAAGGGACUGCCGGUGUUAAACCGGAGGAAGGUGGGGAUGACGUCAAGUCCUCAUGGCCUUUAUGACCAGGGCUACACACGUACUACAAUGGCCGAUACAAAGGGCAGCGACACUGCGAGGUGAAGCCAAUCCCGUAAAAUCGGUCUCAGUCCGGAUUGGAGUCUGCAACUCGACUCCAUGAAGUUGGAAUCGCUAGUAAUCGUGGAUCAGCAUGCCACGGUGAAUACGUUCCCGGGCCUU
This 475-nucleotide ribosomal RNA is filed under the name uncultured Desulfobulbus sp. RNAcentral describes it as "bacterial SSU rRNA". It matches the Rfam family "Bacterial small subunit ribosomal RNA", at positions 910 to 1382 of the family's 1533-position model. The record is from RNAcentral. Lineage: Bacteria; Pseudomonadati; Thermodesulfobacteriota; Desulfobulbia; Desulfobulbales; Desulfobulbaceae.